GACGAACGCUGGCGGCGUGCUUAACACAUGCAAGUCGUACGGUAAGGCCCUUUCGGGGGUACACGAGUGGCGAACGGGUGAGUAACACGUGAGUAACCUGCCCACAACUUUGGGAUAACGCUAGGAACCUGUUGCUAAUACUGAAUAUGUGCUCUUGUUUCAUGGUGGGGGUUGGAAAGUUCCGGCGGUUGUGGAUGGAUUCGCGGCCUAUCGGCUUGUUGGUGGGGUGGUGGCCUACCAAGGCGGCGGCGGGUAGCCGGCCUGUGAGGGUGACCGGCGACAUUGAGACUGAGAUACGGCCCAGACUCCUACGGGAGGCAGCAGUGGGGAAGAUUGCACAAUGGGCGCAAGCCUGAUGCAGCAACGCCGCGUGCGGGAUGACGGCCUUCGGGUUGUAAACCGCUUUCAGCAGGGACGAAGCUUUUUGUGACGGUACCUGCAGAAGAAGCACCGGCUAACUACGUG
RNAcentral lists this ribosomal RNA (465 nucleotides) under uncultured bacterium. Its description in RNAcentral is "partial 16S ribosomal RNA". It matches the Rfam family "Bacterial small subunit ribosomal RNA", at positions 28 to 507 of the family's 1533-position model. The record is from RNAcentral.